This 426-nucleotide ribosomal RNA is filed under the name uncultured bacterium. RNAcentral describes it as "partial 16S ribosomal RNA". It matches the Rfam family "Bacterial small subunit ribosomal RNA", at positions 354 to 796 of the family's 1533-position model. The record is from RNAcentral.
GUGAGGAAUUUUCCGCAAUGGGCGAAAGCCUGACGGAGCAAUGCCGCGUGAAGGAUGAAGGCCUAUGGGUUGUAAACUUCUUUUCUUAAAGAAGAAUAUUGACGGUAUCUGAGGAAUAAGCAUCGGCUAACUCUGUGCCAGCAGCCGCGGUAAGACAGAGGAUGCAAGCGUUAUCCGGAAUGAUUGGGCGUAAAGCGUCUGUAGGUGGCUUCAAAAGUCUCCUGUCAAAGAUCAGGGCUUAACCCUGGGCCGGCAGGAGAAACUCUGAGGCUAGAGUUUGGUAGGGGCAGAGGGAAUUCCCGGUGGAGCGGUGAAAUGCGUAGAGAUCGGGAGGAACACCAAAGGCGAAAGCACUCUGCUGGGCCACAACUGACACUGAGAGACGAAAGCGAGGGGAGCAAAAGGGAUUAGAAACCCUAGUAGUCC